GCUCUCGGCCAAUGAAAAUCCCGCGUCCACCUGGUUGCGCGCGUUCUGGGAAGAGGUUCGUUGCCCUGUGGUUUCUCCUUCUGCGUCUGUUUUGUUUCUGAGCCACGGUGGCCGGCUUUGGAAGUAGUGGGGCCGGACCUGUUUCAAAGGAGCCAAGGGAAGUAUCCUGUUGGAUUUCAACGGACACUAAAGGGGCCUUGAAGGAAACAGUCCAGGAAAGGCAGAUCAACAGGCAUGUACAGUUAAAUGUUUUUCCCACAGAAUUGCAUCGCGCUGUACCACACAGAUUUUCGGAAACCUAAGACGCGGUAUUGAACUAAUUCUACAUCUAACUCCAAUUGUAAUAAAGUUAAUACAUGCA
Long non-coding RNA from Leopardus geoffroyi (Geoffroy's cat), 361 nucleotides. RefSeq lists it as uncharacterized. NCBI's taxonomy places the organism in Eukaryota, Metazoa, Chordata, Mammalia, Carnivora, Felidae. The record is from RefSeq and is a predicted model, not a curated record. The transcript is spliced from 2 exons.